GGCGGUUCUCUUCGAGUUGGCAGUGUUCAUCUUCCGGUUCGUUCGUCGAAGGAAGGUUUAUUUUAUCAGAUUUUAUUCACUAUUUUUGUAAUCUGUGAAACUCAUUUUUAGUGGAACUGUUAAUCACUUUUUAUAGUGAUUAACGACUGGACGUGGAUUCUUUUGAAUAGAACCAGUAUUAAAGUUACUUGUGUGAUUUUUCUACUCCCUGCACUUGUUAUUUUUAUUUGCACAUCAA
RNAcentral lists this long non-coding RNA (238 nucleotides) under Vigna radiata. RNAcentral describes it as "long non-coding RNA (VRAD_LNC016741)". The record is from RNAcentral. Lineage: Eukaryota; Viridiplantae; Streptophyta; Magnoliopsida; Fabales; Fabaceae.